GGACAGUUACCCAAGUGGUUAAGGGGAACGCUUGGAAAGCGUUUAGGUCGCGCAAGCGAUGCAACGGUUCGAAUCCGUUAUUGUCCGCCA
This 90-nucleotide transfer RNA is filed under the name Bacilli bacterium. RNAcentral describes it as "tRNA-Ser". It matches the Rfam family "tRNA". From Rfam's summary of the family: Transfer RNA (tRNA) molecules are approximately 80 nucleotides in length. Lineage: Bacteria; Bacillati; Bacillota; Bacilli. The record is from RNAcentral.